UUCAUUGUGAAAACUAGCCUCUGUGUUCUGAUGCAAACAGGCAGAAGAUGCAGGCAGAAGAUCCGGCUGUGAUAUGUGAUCAAUGUUUAAAACGGUCAAAAAUCAAAUACUAGUAAAUAGUCAAGAACUCAAAUACAUUAACUGGAUGUUUUAUACCUUUCAGGUGUAUGAGAUCAGCUGGGUUCGAAGCUACAGAGACAGAGAGAGAGACGGAGGCGGAGGGAGACGGAGGUGGAGAGAGACAGAGGCGGAGGGAGACGGAGGCGGCGAGAGACGGAGACGGAGAGAGACAGAGGCGGAGAGAGACGGAGGCGGAGAGAUACGGACGCGGAGAGAGACGGAGGCGGAGAGAGACAGAGAGAGACGGAGGCGGAGAGAGACGGAGGCGGAGAGCGACGGAGCGAAUGGAGACGGAGGCAGAGAGCGACGGAUCGAAUGGAGACGGAGGCGGAGACCGACGGAUCGAAUGGAGGCGGAGAGCGACGGAUCGACGGAUUCAAUCGAGAUUUUUU
RNAcentral lists this small RNA (512 nucleotides) under Arabidopsis thaliana (thale cress). RNAcentral's name for it is "ATSL084110". The record is from RNAcentral. Lineage: Eukaryota; Viridiplantae; Streptophyta; Magnoliopsida; Brassicales; Brassicaceae.